CCUGUUAGGGGAAAAGUCCUGGUCGGGGAACCCACAGCCCUGUUCCUGGGCCUCUCUUCUGUAG
Molecule: microRNA precursor, 64 nt
Filed under: Chlorocebus sabaeus (green monkey)
Lineage: Eukaryota; Metazoa; Chordata; Mammalia; Primates; Cercopithecidae
Description: miRNA (ENSCSAG00000020340.1)
Source: RNAcentral